UACGAAGGGGGCUAGCGUUGUUCGGAAUUACUGGGCGUAAAGCGCGUGUAGGCGGGUCUUUAAGUCAGGGGGGAAAUGCCAAGGCUCAACCUUGGAACUGCCUUUGAUACUGGAGAUCUUGAGUCCGGGAGAGGUGAGUGGAAUUGCGAGUGUAGAGGUGAAAUUCGUAGAUAUUCGCAAGAACACCAGUGGCGAAGGCGGCUCACUGGCCCGGAACUGACGCUGAGACGCGAAAGCGUGGGGAGCAAACAGG
This 253-nucleotide ribosomal RNA is filed under the name uncultured bacterium. RNAcentral describes it as "partial 16S ribosomal RNA". It matches the Rfam family "Bacterial small subunit ribosomal RNA", at positions 524 to 776 of the family's 1533-position model. The record is from RNAcentral.